RNAcentral lists this long non-coding RNA (718 nucleotides) under Phaseolus vulgaris (common bean). RNAcentral describes it as "long non-coding RNA (PVUL_LNC005009)". Lineage: Eukaryota; Viridiplantae; Streptophyta; Magnoliopsida; Fabales; Fabaceae. The record is from RNAcentral.
GCAUUUUCAUGAAGUUCUUCUUGAAUCAAUGUAGGGUAUGGGGCGGAAGCAAUGAAUGAGAGUGAGCAAGAUCCUCCUAAGAGUGGUGUUGAUCUUGUAGGUGCAUGAUAAGUGUGGGUAUUGGGUGGUUCGGCCAGCCCAAGGGAAAAGAUGAAGGAAUUGAAGUUUAGAGCCUAGGAUUCUAGGGAGAAGCAAAGUUGAGCACAAAAUGGCAGCAUAACUUUACUCACAAUAAACUUGGAAAAUACAUGAGAUAGCCUCCCUAUUUAUAGGCUAUUUGGACGUAGGAACUAAGCUAAUACAUAAUGAAAUGUAAACCAAAUGAAAUGCAAAGCCUAGGCCAUGUGCCAUGACCGGUCACACCUAGCAAGGUUCUAGAAUGUUUCCUUCAAAUGUGCUUUCUACACUACCCUAUCUACUAAGUACCCCUAUUGGGCCUUUAUGCAACAUAUACAAGGCUUUUCUCUUCCAUCCGUGGCUUCAUCCACUUGUGCUUGUACAUGCUUAGCCAUUGAUCUUGUGAGAGGACCUAGACGGUCUAGUUCCAUAUCUAGACGCUCCAUGGGUAGCUUCCCUUCUUCACGGCCUAGACGCUCAUUCCUUGGAGCUAGACGCUCUCCUUGGUCUAGACGCUCUUCAUGGUUUGGGCUUUGGCUCCCAUGGCUAGAUGUGCUUGGCCCUCCUCCAUCAUCCCCUCCCCCUUGGAAAGGAUUUGUCC